RNAcentral lists this ribosomal RNA (513 nucleotides) under uncultured bacterium. RNAcentral's name for it is "bacterial SSU rRNA". It matches the Rfam family "Bacterial small subunit ribosomal RNA", at positions 791 to 1308 of the family's 1533-position model. The record is from RNAcentral.
UAGUCCACGCCCUAAACGAUGUAUACUCGAUGUUUGGAUUUAUUUCUGGGCAUCCAAGGGAAACCAUUAAGUAUACCACCUGGGGAGUACGUCGGCAACGAUGAAACUCAAAGGAAUUGACGGGGUCCGCACAAGCGGUGGAGCAUGUGGUUUAAUUCGAUGAUACGCGAGGAACCUUACCUAGGCUCGAACGCUACUGGACAGGAUUUGAAAGGAUUUUUCCCUUCGGGGUCAGUAGUGAGGUGCUGCAUGGUUGUCGUCAGCUCGUGCCGUGAGGUGUUGGGUUAAGUCCCGCAACGAGCGCAACCCUUAUUCUUAGUUGCCAGCACAUAAUGGUGGGGACUCUAGGAAGACUGCCGGCGUAAGCCGUGAGGAAGGUGGGGACGACGUCAAAUCAUCAUGGCCUUUAUGCCUAGGGCUACACACGUGCUACAAUGGCAGGUACAGAGGGUUGCGAAGGGGUGACCUGGAGCUAAUCUCAGAAAGCCUGUCCCAGUUCGGAUUGGAGUCUGC